RNAcentral lists this ribosomal RNA (471 nucleotides) under Shewanella marisflavi. RNAcentral's name for it is "bacterial SSU rRNA". It matches the Rfam family "Bacterial small subunit ribosomal RNA", at positions 85 to 552 of the family's 1533-position model. Lineage: Bacteria; Pseudomonadati; Pseudomonadota; Gammaproteobacteria; Alteromonadales; Shewanellaceae. The record is from RNAcentral.
UUGCUGACGAGCGGCGGACGGGUGAGUAAUGCCUAGGGAACUGCCCAGUCGAGGGGGAUAACAGUUGGAAACGACUGCUAAUACCGCAUACGCCCUACGGGGGAAAAGAGGGGACCUUCGGGCCUUCUGCGAUUGGAUGUACCUAGGUGGGAUUAGCUAGUAGGUGAGGUAAUGGCUCACCUAGGCGACGAUCCCUAGCUGUUCUGAGAGGAUGAUCAGCCACACUGGGACUGAGACACGGCCCAGACUCCUACGGGAGGCAGCAGUGGGGAAUAUUGCACAAUGGGCGCAAGCCUGAUGCAGCCAUGCCGCGUGUGUGAAGAAGGCCUUCGGGUUGUAAAGCACUUUCAGCGAGGAGGAAAGGUUAAGUGUUAAUAGCACUUAGCUGUGACGUUACUCGCAGAAGAAGCACCGGCUAACUUCGUGCCAGCAGCCGCGGUAAUACGAGGGGUGCAAGCGUUAAUCGGAAUU